UACGGGGGGGAGCAAGCGUUGUUCGGAUUUACUGGGCGUAAAGGGCGCGUAGGCGGUCGUGACAAGUCACUUGUGAAAUCCCACGGCUCAACCGUGGAACGGCUGGGUAUACUGGCGGUCUUGGGCCAUUCAGGGGCGACUGGAACAAGCGGUGGAGCGGUGAAAUGCGUAGAUAUCGCUUGGAACGCCGAAGGUGAAAACAGGUCGCUGGGGAUGUGCCGACGCUGAGACACGAAAGCCAGGGGAGCAAACGGG
This 255-nucleotide ribosomal RNA is filed under the name uncultured bacterium. Its description in RNAcentral is "partial 16S ribosomal RNA". It matches the Rfam family "Bacterial small subunit ribosomal RNA", at positions 524 to 776 of the family's 1533-position model. The record is from RNAcentral.